GAUAAAAGUUAUUUUCUGGGUCCAAAGCAGGCUAUGCCAGCAUGAUAGUUUGUUCUCCUAUCACCACAUGUGCAAGAAAUGCUGUCUACCUGAGUGGGCAUGUUCAACAUAUGGGUAGCACUGUUUUGAAUUUGGUGUCCAGAGGACAAUCCACUUCAUGUUGUUUUUGUUUCUCCCCUACACAUUCUAGGGGAAAUUAUGCUCGCUUAUCUGUCUCAAAGACCUCUAGUCCAUC
This 235-nucleotide unclassified non-coding RNA is filed under the name Hevea brasiliensis (rubber tree). Lineage: Eukaryota; Viridiplantae; Streptophyta; Magnoliopsida; Malpighiales; Euphorbiaceae. The record is from RNAcentral.